This is a long non-coding RNA of Alligator mississippiensis (American alligator), 1453 nucleotides long. RefSeq lists it as uncharacterized. The transcript is spliced from 4 exons. The record is from RefSeq and is a predicted model, not a curated record. Lineage: Eukaryota; Metazoa; Chordata; Crocodylia; Alligatoridae.
CAUGGCUGCUAGAUGGGCCAUGUGAUCAGAGGAGAGGACUGAGCAGCCUCCAUUUUAGCUCAGGCAUCAGGGCUGAGCCAGUAGUUUGCUGCUGGCAGCUGAAACAACUCCUGGCUGAGCUGGUGCUCGAAGCACUUUGGAGGUUCCUGGACAUCUGUGGCUUCUUCUGGUUUGGCAGGGGUCCUGCUUCAGGACUGAUCCCCAGCUCUACUGCUGCAGAACUUGGAAUUGAACGGAGGAUUGGAGAAUAAUUGGAAUUGAACCCAGGGAUUCCAUAAUAAACAUGGUGAAAGACUGGGGAGCUGAGCACACGGGCCAGAUUGAAUCUCCCACAAUGCAACUCUGAACGUAUGGGUCUGUGCGUUCCAUUGCGUCUGUGCAGUCCAAGCAGAAGCCAGGGAGUAUGAACAACUAGCAAUAAAGUGGAACCCAAGAGGCUACUAAGAUUCAGACAUAUCCAACCAUGUCCUCAAAUCCCAUAAAUGGAUUCCUGUUCUCUGUUCCUCCUCAGCCAUGCCAGCUCGAGACAAGUUGGGCCAAUCUGCUACAGUCUGUUGCUCUCUGAACUACACAAGGUCCCUCAAUUCCAGGGAGUCCAAAAAACAGCUGUGACUUUCCUAUCUGCAGAACAGCUCUGUUUGCUUUGCUGAAACCAUGCUGCAUGUUUGAAAUGUAACAAACUUUCACUGCCCAAAAACUUUCUUUCCCUUUGGAAAAGAAUUUGUGUAAGAACAAUUACUGCAAAACAUAACAUUUGUGAUCAAGUGCCAGUGACUUCCAUGCAAGCAUGAUCCUUAUCUUGAACUUCCAAGAUCCAUGAUCUUCAGUAGUGUAACUAAGGCAGGAUGACUGGAGCAGCAGCCCCAGAUGCUGAUGUAGAAGGAGUUAGGAGUAGAAAAAUAACAACUGCCACUAAAGCUGCACAUCUGCACAGGCAGCACCAGCAGCCAGAAAAUGCCACUACCAUCAUGCAUCACCACUGCCCCAGGCACCCAGCUGCUCUGUUAUGCCUCUGCUGUUCUUAUUAGGAAAGAUAGGAGGAAAAUGCCAAAUAUCAUGGCAAAUAAGUACCAGUGAGGAGAUGAAGAAGAACAAUCUAACAGAAGGAAAAGAGAAAAAAAAAAACCCCUACAAUGUGAGAAGCUAAAUCAGAAGCUUUUCUGACUGUGUGAAGUUGUUUUGUUGUCUUAGAUGUAUUGAAAAUAGAAUUAGGUAUUUUUUUCAAUGGACAGUAAUGUUAACUUGGGAAGGUACUAAAGCUAUUCACAAAUUGGGAUUGAAUUGAGAGAAUAGUUUUGGCCCAAAACUAGGGGAAAUGUUUCAUUUAGGAAAUUCAGACAUGUUUUAUUCCAACAUUUUCCAAAUUAAAUUGUUCAACUUUUGGUUUUGAAAUUACUGUAAAAAAAGUAAUUGACCAAAAUUUAAAAGUGGUUAAAAAGGCUAAAUAAUCUGA